RNAcentral lists this ribosomal RNA (429 nucleotides) under Chloroflexota bacterium. Its description in RNAcentral is "Chloroflexi bacterium partial 16S ribosomal RNA". It matches the Rfam family "Bacterial small subunit ribosomal RNA", at positions 355 to 776 of the family's 1533-position model. Lineage: Bacteria; Bacillati; Chloroflexota. The record is from RNAcentral.
UGGGGAAUAUUGCACAAUGGGCGCAAGCCUGAUGCAGCCAUGCCGCGUGUAUGAAGAAGGCAUUCGGGUUGUAAAGUACUUUCAGCGGGGAGGAAGGGAGUAAAGUUAAUACCUUUGCUCAUUGACGUUACCCGCAGAAGAAGCACCGGCUAACUCCGUGCCAGCAGCCGCGGUAAUACGGAGGGUGCAAGCGUUAAUCGGAAUUACUGGGCGUAAAGCGCACGCAGGCGGUUUGUUAAGUCAGAUGUGAAAUCCCCGGGCUCAACCUGGGAACUGCAUCUGAUACUGGCAAGCUUGAGUCUCGUAGAGGGGGGUAGAAUUCCAGGUGUAGCGGUGAAAUGCGUAGAGAUCUGGAGGAAUACCGGUGGCGAAGGCGGCCCCCUGGACGAAGACUGACGCUCAGGUGCGAAAGCGUAGGGAGCAAACAGG